Molecule: ribosomal RNA, 1316 nt
Filed under: metagenome
Description: bacterial SSU rRNA
Rfam family: Bacterial small subunit ribosomal RNA
Source: RNAcentral
GGGGGCAACCCUGGCGGCGAGCGGCGAACGGGUGAGUAACAUAUCGGAACGUACCCCGUCGUGGGGGAUAACACAGCGAAAGCUGUGCUAAUACCGCAUACGACCUGAGGGUGAAAGCGGGGGACCGUAAGGCCUCGCGUGAUGGGAGCGGCCGAUAUCGGAUUAGCUUGUUGGUGAGGUAAAGGCUCACCAAGGCGACGAUCCGUAGCUGGUCUGAGAGGACGACCAGCCACACUGGAACUGAGACACGGUCCAGACUCCUACGGGAGGCAGCAGUGGGGAAUUUUGGACAAUGGGGGCAACCCUGAUCCAGCCAUUCCGCGUGAGUGAAGAAGGCCUUCGGGUUGUAAAGCUCUUUCAGCAGGAACGAAACGGUGGCCCCUAAUACGGGCUACUAAUGACGGUACCUGAAGAAGAAGCACCGGCUAACUACGUGCCAGCAGCCGCGGUAAUACGUAGGGUGCGAGCGUUAAUCGGAAUUACUGGGCGUAAAGCGUGCGCAGGCGGUUCUAUAAGACAGAUGUGAAAUCCCCGGGCUUAACCUGGGAACUGCGUUUGUGACUGUAGGACUCGAGUGUGGCAGAGGGGGGUGGAAUUCCACGUGUAGCAGUGAAAUGCGUAGAGAUGUGGAGGAACACCGAUGGCGAAGGCAGCCCCCUGGGUCAACACUGACGCUCAUGCACGAAAGCGUGGGGAGCAAACAGGAUUAGAUACCCUGGUAGUCCACGCCCUAAACGAUGCGAACUAGGUGUUGGGGAAGGAGACUUUCUUAGUACCGCAGCUAACGCGUGAAGUUCGCCGCCUGGGGAGUACGGUCGCAAGAUUAAAACUCAAAGGAAUUGACGGGGACCCGCACAAGCGGUGGAUGAUGUGGAUUAAUUCGAUGCAACGCGAAAAACCUUACCUACCCUUGACAUGUCAGGAAGUCUGCUGAGAGGUGGAUGUGCCCGAAAGGGAACCUGAACACAGGUGCUGCAUGGCUGUCGUCAGCCCGUGUCGUGAGAUGUUGGGUUAUGUCCCGCAACGAGCGCAACCCUUGUCAUUAAUUGCCAUCAUUCAGUUGGGCACUUUAAUGAGACUGCCGGUGACAAACCGGAGGAAGGUGGGGAUGACGUCAAGUCCUCAUGGCCCUUAUGGGUAGGGCUUCACACGUCAUACAAUGGUCGGUACAGAGGGUCGCCAACCCGCGAGGGGGAGCCAAUCCCACAAAGCCGAUCGUAGUCCGGAUCGCAGUCUGCAACUCGACUGCGUGAAGUCGGAAUCGCUAGUAAUCGUGGAUCAGCAUGUCACGGUGAAUACGUUCCCGGGUCUUGUAG